Molecule: ribosomal RNA, 492 nt
Filed under: uncultured bacterium
Lineage: Bacteria
Description: partial 16S ribosomal RNA
Rfam family: Bacterial small subunit ribosomal RNA
Source: RNAcentral
AGUGAACGCUGGCGGUAGGCCUAACACAUGCAAGUCGAACGGCAGCACAGUAAGAGCUUGCUCUUACGGGUGGCGAGUGGCGGACGGGUGAGGAAUACAUCGGAAUCUACCUUUUCGUGGGGGAUAACGUAGGGAAACUUACGCUAAUACCGCAUACGACCUACGGGUGAAAGCAGGGGAUCUUCGGACCUUGCGCGAUUGAAUGAGCCGAUGUCGGAUUAGCGAGUUGGCGGGGUAAAGGCCCACCAAGGCGACGAUCCGUAGCUCGUCUGAGAGGAUGAUCAGCCACACUGCAAUUGAGACACGGUCCAGACUCCUACGGGAGGCAGCAUUGGGGAAUAUUGGACAAUGGGCGCAAGCCUGCUCCAGCAAUACCGCGUGGUUGAAGAAGGCCUUCGGGUUGUAAAGCCCUUUUGUUGGGAAAGAAAAGCAGCAGGUUAAUACCCCGCUGUUCUGACGGUACCCAAACAAUAAGCACCGGCUAACUUCGUG